Molecule: unclassified non-coding RNA, 378 nt
Filed under: plant metagenome
Description: partial contains 5.8S ribosomal RNA, internal transcribed spacer 2, and large subunit ribosomal RNA
Rfam family: 5.8S ribosomal RNA (bases 1-105)
Source: RNAcentral
GAAAUGCGAUAAGUAAUGUGAAUUGCAGAAUUCAGUGAAUCAUCGAAUCUUUGAACGCAUCUUGCGCUCCUUGGUAUUCCUUGGAGCAUGCCUGUUUGAGUAUCAUGAAAUCUUCAAAGUAAAUCUUUUGUUAACUCAAUUGGUUUCUACUUUGGUAUUGGAGGUCUUUGCAGCUUCACACCUGCUCCUCUUUGUUCAUUAGCUGGAUCUCAGUGUUAUGCUUGGUUACACUCGGCGUGAUAAGUUAUCUAUCGCUGAGGACACUGUAAAAGGUGGCCAAGGUAAAUGCAGAUGAACCGCUUCUAAUAGUCCAUUGACUUGGACAAUACUUUUAUGAUCUGAUCUCAAAUCAGGUAGGACUACCCGCUGAACUUAAGC